RNAcentral lists this transfer RNA (81 nucleotides) under Paragonimus westermani. RNAcentral's name for it is "tRNA-Asn". It matches the Rfam family "tRNA". From Rfam's summary of the family: Transfer RNA (tRNA) molecules are approximately 80 nucleotides in length. The record is from RNAcentral. Lineage: Eukaryota; Metazoa; Platyhelminthes; Trematoda; Plagiorchiida; Troglotrematidae.
GGCUUUGUAGCCCAACUGGUAGAGCGCUUGCCGCGUUGCGGCAUGCUGCGUCUGUAGCUGGUUCGAAUCCAGCCGAAGCCC